RNAcentral lists this ribosomal RNA (253 nucleotides) under uncultured bacterium. Its description in RNAcentral is "partial 16S ribosomal RNA". It matches the Rfam family "Bacterial small subunit ribosomal RNA", at positions 524 to 776 of the family's 1533-position model. The record is from RNAcentral.
UACGUAGGUGACGAGAGUUAUCCGGAAUUAUUGGGCGUAAAGCGCACGCAAGCGGUCUGUCAAGUCUGACGUGAAAUCUCUUGGCUUAACUGGGAGCGGUCGUUGGAAACUGAUAGGCUUGAGGCGAUGAGAGGGGUGCAGAAUUCCUGGUGUAGUGGUGGAAUGCGUAGAGAUCAGGAGGAAUACCUGUGGCGAAAGAGGCACCCUGGCGUCGUUAUGACGCUCAUGUGCGAAAGCGUGGGGAGCGAACGGG